GAUAACAAAAUUAAAAAUCGACAGUAAUCCGUUUGCUAAAGGAUUUCGAGAUUCGAGCCGUUUAUCAGAAUUUGAAAGAGAAACUAUGGAAUCAAUGUUGGCCGAGCAACAUUAUUUGCGACAUCCAGCUCUGAGGUCUUUUCCAGAUUUCGAUCUGACCAAUCAGAACUUGACCCUGG
Ctenocephalides felis (cat flea) is the source of this 179-nucleotide long non-coding RNA. RefSeq lists it as uncharacterized. The record is from RefSeq and is a predicted model, not a curated record. NCBI's taxonomy places the organism in Eukaryota, Metazoa, Arthropoda, Insecta, Siphonaptera, Pulicidae. The transcript is spliced from 3 exons.